GUACUUUAUCAUUUAAAGGCUUUUUAUUAAAAACCUACAAUCUCAUUCUAUAGACAUGCAGCCGUGUUUAUAAAAAUGACAUAGACACCCAGACUGAUCUCAAGAGGUCAAUAUAUAUCAUUACAUUACAACCAACCUCUCAUUCCCAAGUGUCUACAAAAUGUGCACAGGAGGAAAAAUGAAUGAAAUAAGCAGCAAAAGACGUGCACAUGCUCAUUCAAGCCAGCGACAGCCUUUGCCACCCAUUGUCCUUCAAUAAUGAUCCUUCCGCAGGUUCACCUACGGAAA
RNAcentral lists this unclassified non-coding RNA (288 nucleotides) under uncultured fungus. RNAcentral's name for it is "sequence contains ITS1". The record is from RNAcentral. Lineage: Eukaryota; Fungi.